Long non-coding RNA from Chinchilla lanigera (long-tailed chinchilla), 810 nucleotides. RefSeq lists it as uncharacterized. Lineage: Eukaryota; Metazoa; Chordata; Mammalia; Rodentia; Chinchillidae. The record is from RefSeq and is a predicted model, not a curated record. The transcript is spliced from 3 exons.
UGUUUCAGGUUGUAAGGGGCAGCUGCAUUCUUUCAAGGAGGUGCACGCUGGCGGCCUGUGAAGCAGGGCACAGGCUUCAGGGAGACGGUGAAUGCACAGUGAUGGAAAGUCAGCUCUGCCCAGCUGCCACUUGCUGCCCAGUCCAUAGGCUGCCAUCUUAGGAGCAGUUCGAAUACAAGAUUUGGUGGAUCAAACCCGCAGAGGGUCUAUAUUGAGCAAAUUCACAAAUACAGGCCCAAAAGAGGAAGUGGGAAGAGCACCCAUGUGAAGCCACAAGAAGUGGGGAAGUAACCUACUUUGCAUCCACGGUCGGCUCUUGUUGAGCUCAAGAAACCGCAUAGGACCUACCAGCUGCCUAGGAAAACAGCAGAUCCCAGAUGUACCACUUACAGUUGUCUCUAUCUUCAGAUAAUUGACUCCAGAACUCUGUGUAAAUACAAAAUCCCGGGAUGCUCCGGUGCUGCAGGUAAAGUGGUGUAUUUGCACAUAGCAUAUCCAGUCUUCCUGUAUACUUUAACUCAUCCUUAAACUACUUCUAAUACCAUAUAAAUGUUGCAUAAGAGUUGCUACACUGUGAGGUCUAGGAAAUGACGGCAAGGAAAAGCCACCUGGACCUCUGAGUAUCGAUGCUACCUUCUUAGGCCAUAGUACACAAUCCUUGGUUAGUUGAAUGGAUAGAUUCAGAUCCCAUAGAUGCACAAGGCCUUUCUUGCAGGGUUCCCACUCCUGGAAUUCCAUUAGGAUUCAUUGCUAGAAGGCAUCAGCUGACACAGUUUACUUAGUUCUUCCCUGUCCUUGGAGAGGGUUACA